This 224-nucleotide ribosomal RNA is filed under the name uncultured eukaryote. RNAcentral's name for it is "partial 18S ribosomal RNA". It matches the Rfam family "Eukaryotic small subunit ribosomal RNA", at positions 1208 to 1456 of the family's 1831-position model. The record is from RNAcentral.
GAGAAGUUUACUAGGACAAGACAUAAGGAGGAUUGACAGAUUGAUCGCUCUUUCUUGAUUCUAUGGGUGGUGGUGCAUGGCCGUUCUUAGUUCGUGGAGUAAUUUGUCAGGUUAAUUCCGUUAACGAACGAGACUUUGACUUGCUAAUUGGGGAUAUCCAUUGUGAUGGUGUUCCCCGUUAGAAGGACUAUGAAUUCCCAGUUCAAGGAAGCGCGAAGCAAUAA